RNAcentral lists this ribosomal RNA (497 nucleotides) under uncultured bacterium. RNAcentral describes it as "partial 16S ribosomal RNA". It matches the Rfam family "Bacterial small subunit ribosomal RNA", at positions 28 to 507 of the family's 1533-position model. The record is from RNAcentral.
GAUGAACGCUGGCGGCGUGCCUAAUACAUGCCAGUCGAGCGAACAGACGAGGAGCUUGCUCCUCUGACGUUAGCGGCGGACGGGUGAGUAACACGUGGAUAACCUACCUAUAAGACUGGGAUAACUUCGGGAAACCGGAGCUAAUACCGGAUAAUAUAUUGAACCGCAUGGUUCAAUAGUGAAAGACGGUUUUGCUGUCACUUAUAGAUGGAUCCGCGCCGCAUGAGCUAGUUGGUAAGGUAACGGCUUACCAAGGCAACGAUGCGUAGCCGACCUGAGAGGGUGAUCGGCCACACUGGAACUGAGACACGGUCCAGACUCCUACGGGAGGCAGCAGUAGGGAAUCUUCCGCAAUGGGCGAAAGCCUGACGGAGCAACGCCGCGUGAGUGAUGAAGGUCUUCGGAUCGUAAAACUCUGUUAUUAGGGAAGAACAAAUGUGUAAGUAACUAUGCACGUCUUGACGGUACCUAAUCAGAAAGCCACGGCUAACUACGUG